UGGGGAAUCUUGGACAAUGGGCGCAAGCCUGAUCCAGCAAUGCCGCGUGGGUGAUGAAGCCUUCGGGUUGUAAAGCCCUUUUGGCGGGGACGCGGUACCCGCCGAAUAAGCUCCGGCUAACUUCGUGCCAGCAGCCGCGGUAAUACGAAGGGAGCUAGCGUUGUUCGGAAUUACUGGGCGUAAAGGGCGCGUAGGCGGUUUCGAUAGUCAGGCGUGAAAUCCCCAGGCUCAACCUGGGAAUUGCGCUUGAUACUGCGAGACUUGAGUGAGGGAGAGGAUAGUGGAAUUCCCAGUGUAGAGGUGAAAUUCGUAGAUAUUGGGAAGAACACCAGUGGCGAAGGCGGCUAUCUGGACCUCAACUGACGCUGAGGCGCGAAAGCGUGGGAGCAAACAGGAUUAGAUACCCUAGUAGU
RNAcentral lists this ribosomal RNA (413 nucleotides) under uncultured bacterium. Its description in RNAcentral is "bacterial SSU rRNA". It matches the Rfam family "Bacterial small subunit ribosomal RNA", at positions 355 to 794 of the family's 1533-position model. The record is from RNAcentral.